RNAcentral lists this ribosomal RNA (430 nucleotides) under uncultured bacterium. RNAcentral describes it as "bacterial SSU rRNA". It matches the Rfam family "Bacterial small subunit ribosomal RNA", at positions 8 to 441 of the family's 1533-position model. The record is from RNAcentral.
AAAGUUUGAUCCUGGCUCAGGACGAACGCUGGCGGCGUGCUUAACACAUGCAAGUCGAACGGUGAAGUCCCUUCGGGGACGGAUCAGUGGCGAACGGGUGAGUAACACGUGGGCAAUCUGCCCCUCACUGUGGGAUAACUCCGGGAAACCGGGGCUAAUACCGCAUAUGAAACCUGGCGGCAUCGCCGGGUUUGGAAAGUUUUUCGGUGAGGGAUGAGCCCGCGGCCUAUCAGCUUGUUGGUGAGGUAAUGGCUCACCAAGGCGACGACGGGUAGCCGGCCUGAGAGGGCGACCGGCCACACUGGGACUGAGACACGGCCCAGACUCCUACGGGAGGCAGCAGUGGGGAAUAUUGGGCAAUGGGCGAAAGCCUGACCCAGCGACGCCGCGUGCGGGAUGAAGGCCUUCGGGUUGUAAACCGCUUUCAGCA